GUAACUUAUCUGGCACUAUCUUUUGUAAAUAUAUUUUUGGUAAAACUAUUCACUUUUCCCAUAAUUUUGUGUACGUUUUGUGAUUGAAUUCCUCAGUUCUACAUAAAGUACAAACACUAAAGUACUACCUACUUAAUGAAAACAUUAUUUAUCUUAAAAAUUCUAUCUACAACUGUUACCAAUGGAAUACAAAGUAAAACUGAGAAAAUGAAUAAUUUGUAUACAGUCCAAUUCAGCACAAAGUGAAGCAUCUUUUAACAGUAAUAUAAAUCCAUCCAAAAUAAGCUACAAAAUAUAACAAAUGUGUUGUUUUACAUAUGCUUAAAACAGGCUGCUAAUAUUUGCAUCACAUAUAAUAGUAAAUGGAUUCACAUGUUGAGCCAUACGUCCUGAAAUGUAUGCACCUCACCACUCUCGGGGCUGUAAUAUGUGCUAUAGGCCAGGGUUGGACAAAGUGUUGCAGCUAGAGGAUUAUGGGAUUUUAAGUACACUGACAUUUGUAGAGUCACAUGUUGAAAUAAAUAGGCAGGGUUAUGAUGUGAUAUCCAUUAGUAAAUAUUAAACACAUCAGUGCAUUACUAAAAUAGCCAUAUUGCUUCAGAAUGUAUCAAUAAUACACUUGUACUAAUCCAUAUUGCAUCUU
Molecule: non-coding RNA, 643 nt
Organism: Pelobates cultripes (western spadefoot toad)
Lineage: Eukaryota; Metazoa; Chordata; Amphibia; Anura; Pelobatidae
Source: the annotation of a GenBank genome assembly